CAGCUCAGUUGGCAGAGCAUGAGACUAUUGAUCUCAGGGUCAUGGGUUCAAGCCCCACCCUGGGCAAAAGA
Molecule: non-coding RNA, 71 nt
Organism: Podarcis lilfordi (Lilford's wall lizard)
Lineage: Eukaryota; Metazoa; Chordata; Lepidosauria; Squamata; Lacertidae
Source: the annotation of a GenBank genome assembly